UACGUAGGGUGCAAGCGUUAAUCGGAAUUACUGGGCGUAAAGCGUGCGCAGGCGGUGAUGUAAGAUCGAUGUGAAAUCCCCGGGCUUAACCUGGGAACUGCAUUGGUGACUGCAUUGCUAGAGUAUGGCAGAGGGGGGUGGAAUUCCACGUGUAGCAGUGAAAUGCGUAGAGAUGUGGAGGAACACCGAUGGCGAAGGCAGCCCCCUGGGCCAAUACUGACGCUCAUGCACGAAAGCGUGGGGAGCAAACAGG
This 253-nucleotide ribosomal RNA is filed under the name uncultured bacterium. RNAcentral describes it as "partial 16S ribosomal RNA". It matches the Rfam family "Bacterial small subunit ribosomal RNA", at positions 524 to 776 of the family's 1533-position model. The record is from RNAcentral.